Non-coding RNA from Oryzias latipes (Japanese medaka), 1312 nucleotides. Lineage: Eukaryota; Metazoa; Chordata; Actinopteri; Beloniformes; Adrianichthyidae. The record is from RefSeq and is a predicted model, not a curated record.
CUUAUCACAAAAAAAUGGUGACUGAAUUGACUUCAUUUUUUAUGGUUGAUGUCACACUCACUCGCUCCAGUUCUCUAAUACAGUCAAUGGCCAAGACUCAACUCGGUAGGGACAGAUGGCCAGCAGUGUUUGCUCCUCAGUGGUGCCCUUGAGCAAGACCGAUUUGCUCCAGUGGAGCAGCUUAGGUGCAUUUGUGGUUGUGGAACCGUGUGAGGACGACCAAGGCGUCCUUGAAAACAGUUUUCUCUCAGUGGAGCUCAACGGUAUAAAUAAAGGGCCAAACAACUGCUUCUUCAUUUCAGCAGCACUUCAGUUCCUGAUAUGUUUGUCAAACAAAUCGCAUUCCACGUUUGGGUUUUUAACAGGUUUCAAACUGCAUCAAACGCCAGACAGACAGAGGACAAAAGCAGGAAAAUGAAUGACCUCGACUCACAUUUUUCCAUAAAUAGCAUUGCCCCUCACUCACCACCAAAACACAGCCAGUUAACCUCAUGGCUAAGUCCUUUACAUUAGUUUGAUUUUCCCAAAUGUAAAUGUAUUAUGAGAAAAGUAAAAAUAAGAUAACUUGACUUGGUUGCUACAGGAUGCUCUCUAAUGCUUGUUCUUGGUAAUUAUUAAAGGAGAAAUCACAAACAUUCCGAUACUGCAGCAGAAUUUUUCCUUUUAAAUAUGUUUUUCAGUUUGCUGGUAAAAUGGUUACUUCACACAAGAACAAAUCCUGACAGAUGAUUGGCUUUUUACUGAAUCAAAAACAGUUUCAACUUACAUAAAUAUUUGUUAAAGAGUUGCACAAGUGAACCUUGUCUUUUAAAAUACACACAGACCCCUGCAUGAAUGUGUGAAAGAAGAUAAAGACAACAGACUCAACCUUUUUUUCCUGAACUUUGAGUCCUGUCCUGAAAAAAUAUCAUUUUAGAAAUCACGUUGGAACUAGAGGAUUCAAUCACUCAUUUCAUGCUUAAAGUUAAACGGUUUGCUGGUUCUGUCCAUUUUCUCUUCCUGCUUUGUUCUCCAUAGGUUCACGGGGCUCGUUGGAGGUUGUCCCAGCUUCUUCAGCGCGGAGAUGGAGCAGUCGUGAAGAUGAGGUUUAGUGGAGUACAGAACUGGAUUGAAUGUGAGAUUCUCUGAAUAUUGGUGAACAUGAGGCAUGGUGGCUGACAGAGCUAACGGGAAGUAUAUUUACAAACUUGUCUUUCAGAUUUCAGAGUCAUAUCAGUGUUUCAAAGUGAAACCUGAACUCAGAUCCGGAGAGAAAAAAGAUGCACUCUGCUGACAUCUGCUGAUGCUAAAUAAAUGUGUCAUGCAACAAGCA